UACGUAGGGACCAAGCGUUGUUCGGAUUUACUGGGCGUAAAGGGCGCGUAGGCGGCUUAACAAGUCACUUGUGAAAUCUCCGGGCUUAACUCGGAACUGCCAAGUGAAACUGUCAAGCUAGAGUGCAGAAGGGGCAAUCGGAAUUCUUGGUGUAGCGGUGAAAUGACGUAGAUAUCAAGAGGAACACCUGAGGUGAAGACGGGUUGCUGGGCUGACACUGACGCUGAGGCGCGAAAGCCAGGGGAGCAAACGGG
Molecule: ribosomal RNA, 254 nt
Filed under: uncultured bacterium
Lineage: Bacteria
Description: partial 16S ribosomal RNA
Rfam family: Bacterial small subunit ribosomal RNA
Source: RNAcentral